Long non-coding RNA from Conger conger (European conger), 756 nucleotides. RefSeq lists it as uncharacterized. The record is from RefSeq and is a predicted model, not a curated record. NCBI's taxonomy places the organism in Eukaryota, Metazoa, Chordata, Actinopteri, Anguilliformes, Congridae. The transcript is spliced from 3 exons.
AGAAAAGUGACGUAGUUGUGAAGUGCACAUGCGCAAUACACCUCCAUGGGUAGGAUGAAAUGUUUGAGCGCUGCAAACGCUGAAUGGGGGUAAAGGAUGGAUUAUUACAGAUUGGAGUUUAUAAUAUUCGUCAUCACAGCAAUAGAAGCGCGUCACCUGAAAACAUGGAUCGAGAUGGCGGAAACUGCAGCGCAUGUAACCGGAGAGACCACUAACCCAGAAGAGGAGAUGGCUAUACUGAUUGAGGAGCUGCACUCCCCAUGAGUGUUCUUGAGCUUGCUGGAAGAGCACAAUCUUGAGCCUGAUAAGACGGCCACCACCCUCUAAGCCACAGGUGUCAAACUCCAGUCCUGGAGGGCCGUAGUGUCUGCUGGUUUUUGGGGUGGGCUGGUUAAUUGGCCUUAAUUGGCAGCUGAUUGAAAGGAAACCACAAAAACCAGCAGACACUGCGGCCCCCGGGGGAUUCAGUUUGACACCCCUGCUCUAAGCCCUGAAUAUCGAUUAUCCAAAACGUGAAGUGCACUUCUGGUGGCCAUUUUGAACAUCAGUGGAGGCAGAAGAAUUUUGGUACAGGGAACGGCUGAACCAAGACAGAGACGAGAGGCUGCCCAGACCCCCAGGGGCAUGUGCUUUCCUGCGGCAUUAAUUCUGCACCCAUAAAAUGUGACUGUUUUCACACUGUCUGUGAAGAGCUGACUGGAGCUUGAUGGGCUACCAAAAUAAAUGCUCUUGGCCUGGCAGCAGGGAGGAAAUUUG